GAUGAACGCUGGCGGCAUGCUUAACACAUGCCAGUCGGACGGGAACUGGUGUUUCCAGUGCCGUUCGGGGGAGUGACUCGCAGGAACCUGCCCUUGGCAGGGGAACAACAACUGUCAACGGUUGCUACUACCCCGUAGGCUGAGGAGCAAAACAAGGAAUCCUCCGGAGGAGGGGCUGGCGUCUGACUCGCUAGUUGGUGAGGUAAAAGCGUACCGAGGCGAUUAUCAGUAGCUGGGCAGAGAGGAUGAUGAGCCACACUGUGACUGAGACACGGGCCAGGCACAUUGGGGAAGGGGCGGAAGGGAGUUUUCCGCAAUGGGCGUGAGCGUGAAGGGGCAUUGGGGCGUGGAGGUAGAAGGCCCAGGAGGAGUAAACUUCUUUUCUCGCAGAAGAAACAAUGACGGUACCUGAGGAAAAAGCCUCGGCUAACUCUGUG
Molecule: ribosomal RNA, 437 nt
Filed under: uncultured bacterium
Lineage: Bacteria
Description: partial 16S ribosomal RNA
Rfam family: Bacterial small subunit ribosomal RNA
Source: RNAcentral